RNAcentral lists this ribosomal RNA (727 nucleotides) under uncultured bacterium. Its description in RNAcentral is "bacterial SSU rRNA". It matches the Rfam family "Bacterial small subunit ribosomal RNA", at positions 29 to 748 of the family's 1533-position model. The record is from RNAcentral.
UUGAACGCUGGCGGCAGGCUUAACACAUGCAAGUCGAGCGGAAACGAAGGUAGCUUGCUACCAGGCGUCGAGCGGCGGACGGGUGAGUAAUGCUUAGGAAUCUACCGAGUAGUGGGGGAUAGCCAUUGGAAACGAUGAUUAAUACCGCAUAUAUCCUACGGGGGAAAGCAGGGGACCUUCGGGCCUUGCGCUAUUCGAUGAGCCUGAGUGAGAUUAGCUAGUUGGUGGGGUAAAGGCCUACCAAGGCGACGAUCUCUAGCUGGUCUGAGAGGAUGAUCAGCCACACUGGGACUGAGACACGGCCCAGACUCCUACGGGAGGCAGCAGUGGGGAAUAUUGCACAAUGGACGAAAGUCUGAUGCAGCCAUGCCGCGUGUGUGAAGAAGGCCUUCGGGUUGUAAAGCACUUUCAGCGAGGAGGAAAGGUCAGUAAGUAAUAUUUGCUGGCUGUGACGUUACUCGCAGAAGAAGCACCGGCUAAUUUAGUGCCAGCAGCCGCGGUAAUACUAAAGGUGCAAGCGUUAAUCGGAAUUACUGGGCGUAAAGCGCGCGUAGGUGGUUUGUUAAGUUGGGUGUGAAAGCCCAGGGCUCAACCUUGGAACUGCAUUCAAAACUGACUCACUAGAGUACGAGAGAGGUUAGUGGAAUUUCCUGUGUAGCGGUGAAAUGCGUAGAGAUGGGAAGGAACACCAGUGGCGAAGCGACUGACUGGCUCGAUACUGACACUG